AGGGGUAAACCUGAGAAACCCGAAAGGUCGAAGGAAGAAAUUCAUUCGCGUUUCGACGCAGGCGUCGGACGGAGUCGUGCGACGGAACUCGCGCACCGCGCGUUCUUCGGAACCGCGAGUGUUUGCGUAGUUUUGCGCCCUUCGUUCGACGAACCGGCGACGAACGCGUGCACUUUUCUUCUGGUAGGACGUCGCGAUCCGUCGGGCGUCGGUCUACGACUUGCGGUGGAGCCCGUCCGUCGUCGUCUCGCGACGAUGCGGACGGACCCGCUCGUUUUCCGACCGACUCGCUCGACGGUAUACGUGCAAGGUCGGAGGCCGCUCGUUAUUUGAAAGGAGCGUUCGACUCGUCGCAAGCGCGUCACGUGCGUCGGCACGCGGACCUAGUGCCGCGUCCGACCUCUGGCGACUGUUGGCGGCGACGUUCUCGGACAGACCUCUUUCUCUCUCUCAUUUUAACCGAUGAGGGGGGGGUGACCGAUCGGCGACGCUAUAGCUUUGGGUACUUUCAGGACCCGUCUUGAAACACGGACCAAGGAGUCUAGCAUGUACGCGAGUCAUUGGGAAUUACUAAACCUAAAGGCGUAAUGAAAGUAAAGGUCUUCCUAGCGAAGACCGAGGGAAGACGGACGGUCUGCAAAAGCCCUCAAAAGUGUGAGGACCGUCCUGCAUUCCCGGGGCGUCUCGUUCACAUUGCGUGAAGAGGCGCACCAAGAGCGUACACGCUGGGACCCGAAAGAUGGUGAACUAUGCCUGGUCAGGACGAAGUCAGGGGAAACCCUGAUGGAGGUCC
This 793-nucleotide ribosomal RNA is filed under the name Anisandrus dispar. RNAcentral's name for it is "eukaryotic LSU rRNA". It matches the Rfam family "Eukaryotic large subunit ribosomal RNA", at positions 411 to 876 of the family's 3401-position model. Lineage: Eukaryota; Metazoa; Arthropoda; Insecta; Coleoptera; Curculionidae. The record is from RNAcentral.